RNAcentral lists this long non-coding RNA (1568 nucleotides) under Ricinus communis (castor bean). Its description in RNAcentral is "long non-coding RNA (RCOM_LNC002750)". The record is from RNAcentral. Lineage: Eukaryota; Viridiplantae; Streptophyta; Magnoliopsida; Malpighiales; Euphorbiaceae.
UUUUAUGGUGAAUUAAUCAAGGUUCUUAGUUUGAUUAUAUUGGGGGUGUGCUUUGACAUCAUAUUCAUGUCCUUUUUGCAUUCACAUUUAGAAGUCCUUAUGCGGGCUUGAUUGAGAAAUUGUGUACUUUUGAUGCCCUAUUAAUUAACAGAAUAAGUUGAUGCAUGAUAGGCACUGUAUGCAAUUGUUGUUGCUUUCUUUUAUUGGGCUUGUUCUUAUUUAAUGAGAAGCAGCUGCUAUGUCAUGCUCAUUGCUGCUAGCGAGCGAUACGAAGAGAUAGCAUAAAGCCCCCAAUGAGGCUUUUUUAAAUAUAAUCUGUCCUCCAAAAUUUUAAUGUUCCGCCCGCCACUGCCUGGUAGUUCUAUCUUGGUGGAUGAAGUGCUUGCAAUUUGAGAAGGCUUGAUGCUGGCUCACGGGUGAGGAAUGCCCUUGUCAAGGUUUAUUUGUGGAGUCAGAUAUGGAUCGAGCGGUGCACCUCAUCAACGAUCAAACUUCUAUAGUUGAGGCAGGUCAUAUACAUGCUAUAGUUUCUUGAGUCGGGUUCAUGUGAUGGGGUUUCGUCACGUGCAUAUGGCUUCUAAUUUUGUAAAUCAUGCUUUAACAAGAUUUUGUACUUCCUUUGAUGUUGAUAGACUGUUGGGUUUUUUUAUCAAUUAAAGAAAUUGUUCAUAUUAAAAGGCCAAAAGGCCUAGAGAGAGUACAAGAGGAGCUUGGAGUACAACAGAUGAGCCUAACCCAAACUAGAAACCAAGGACUAAAGGUCCAGACGUCAUUACAAAUAUAAGAGUUUAAAUUACAGGGCUCAAGGCCCAUUAAACCUUUAAAAGUGAGUUGAAGGUCCACAAAUAAAUUGGCUCCAAGGCCUACAAUAGAUAAAAAAAAUACUGAAAAGUUCUUAUAAAACCUUCACAUGACCACACAAAUCCAUCUUCUUCAUCCUAGGCACUACCAAGAAGGUCAAUAAGAAUCCAAGCACUCAACUCCCCAUAAGCCAAUAGACACCCUCAAACUAUCAAAUCAUUAGCCACGAGAUCAAAAGAUCAAGAUUUCUCUAGUAAACACACAUCCACCAUAAAUUGUCGGCAGCACUAACAAAACUAUAUGAGAUUGAAGAAUAGACUGCUUCAAAGCUACCGACGGUAAUUUUGGAGUAGAUCAGUAGGAAGACAAGACCAAAGAGGAGAUUCCUCCUUCCACCGAUCAUUACCUAUAAAACCAGCAACUCUUCCUCUCCAUCGCUUACAUCUGUCAUAAGACAAACACCCAUAGGACACCGGGAGGUUAAGGAGGCGGAUGUCACCGCACUUACUGGCUAGGUGAGGGCCAAGAUCAAAAAAAUUGCACCAAAAGAACAAAAGCAAACCAGCAACUAAUUCGAAACAAGACAACAACAUCACUUAUAAACACUUUAAUUAAAUUAGACAUAAAGAAAGAAAAACUAAAAGCGAGAUGAAACAAAACUGUAGGGUUGCCUGCAGGUGGUAAAAGUCACCGGAAGCCGCCCCAAACGCAAAUCUAAACACUAGAUACUGCGUAGGAAAGUUAGAGAGAAAGUUAGGAAAAAAAAC